UAAAUGAAGAUCCAAGAAAGCAUGUAAGAAAGAGUGUACACCACCGAAAAAAGAAUGAAAAACCCUAAACCCUAGAACCUUCAUUCCUUCCUUACAAUGGCGGCUGAACUUCCACCGGAAAUUCUCACCGAAAUCUUCUCCCGUUUACCGGUAAUAUCACUUCUCCGAUUCCGAUCAACUUCAAAAUCACUUAAAUUCUUAAUCGAUUCCUACAAAUUCAUCAACCUUCACCUCAGAAAUUCCCCCAAUCGAUCCUUAAUCCUUCGAUUCAAAUUCGAUAUCUACCAACUUGAAAUCAAUGAUGAUUUCUCUAAUCCAGGCGUAUUGGUGCUACUUAUUCCACACAACCACCCUUUCACCGCCAACAGCGAGCAUAACAACACCCUUACUCUUAUCGGUUCAUGUAACGGCCUCCUCGCCAUGUCCCACGGCGUAAUGGCUUUCACGCAUCCCAACGCCCCCAACGAAAUCGCAAUCUGGAACCCUUACACCGGUAAAUAUCGGAUUAUCCCUUUUCUCCCUCUUCCCAUCCCUAACAUUCUCCAAUCUGACAACCCUAAUCGUGGCUGCUUAUGCGUUCACGGCUUCGGUUUUGAUUCUUUAUCCGGCGAUUACAAACUCCUCAGAAUCUCUUACUUGCUCGAUCUACAAAACCCUUUUUAUGAUCCACAUGUUAGACUCUUCAGCUUGAAAACAAACUCAUGGAAAAUAAUUCCUAAUUUUCCUUACGCUCUUUACUAUACUCGAACAAUGGGUGUUUUUGUUGAGAAUUCUAGUUCUCUUCACUGGGUUGCGUCCAGGAAAAUUCAACCAUUUCAAUCUGAUUUAAUUCUCGCUUUUAACCUUUCACUUGAGACUUUCAACGAGGUUCCUCUUCCUGAUGAAAUAGGGGAACAAGUUAAUAGUAAGAGUUUUAAAAUUCGUGUUGCUGAUUUAGGAGGGUGUCUUUGUAUGACUGUGGAUUAUAAAGAUACUAAAAUUGAUGUUUGGGUGAUGAAAGAAUAUGGAUGUAGAGAUAGUUGGUGUAAACUUUUUACUGUGGUUAAAUCGUGUUUCGAUGAUUUACCUGUGGAAUCUUUGAGGCUUUUAGGUUAUUCCAUUGAUGGAAAAAAGGUUUUGUUGAGGGUAGAUGUUGUGAAUCUGUUUUGGUAUGAUUUGGAGAGUAAUCAAGUUAGUCAUUUUCAAGAAGAUCUUGAUUUGGAUGACGCUAUGAUUUGUGUUGGAAGUCUUGUACCACCACCUUGCGAGGAUCCUACAAGCGAGAAAAGGGACGACUUUUUGUCCAGAGAAUUUAAAUUGAGACUGUAAGCGAUGGACGGAAGGACCUGUGAAGUGCAGCUGAAACAGGAUGCUCCAGUUGUUUCUUGUGAUGGAAUUAGUCACCUUGGUUAGGUUGAAUUGGUAAUGAUGGAGAACUGUCCUUUCGCCUAUGGUUGUAGUAUCGAUUUGAUGUAGCACUUACUUGCGGGUGUUGAAACUUCAAAGUUAUAUUUAGUUGGUCUCGUAAAAAGAUCCUUUUGAACUGUGUAUGCAAAAGCUUGAAGAAGAGAAAGAAAUCAUUCUUAAACAAAUUUCAGAGAAUGUGAAAGAAAAAAUUGAUGAAGGAUUGCAGAACUAAGAACUUUAGGGCUCAACCAUGCAUAAAAGGUUAAACUCAUACUGUUUUGGUGAUUAUGUUAUCAACAGAUAAAUGUUAGAGAAAAUUUAUUUCAUAUCUUCAGUGUUUGUAUGUCAAUUUGCAGAGCACAUUUUCCUUUUAGGCGAGGCUUUCUUUUUUGUUUGGAAUUGAUUGAAUAAAAAAAGUUGAUUAUUCUGAA
Molecule: RNA transcript, 1817 nt
Organism: Medicago truncatula (barrel medic)
Lineage: Eukaryota; Viridiplantae; Streptophyta; Magnoliopsida; Fabales; Fabaceae
Gene name: F-box protein CPR1
Exons: 3
Source: RefSeq, a predicted model, not a curated record